Molecule: small RNA, 332 nt
Filed under: Pongo abelii (Sumatran orangutan)
Lineage: Eukaryota; Metazoa; Chordata; Mammalia; Primates; Hominidae
Description: processed transcript
Source: RNAcentral
CCAACCACAGCCUCCAGCACCCGAGAGAACGGCCGCCCACGGCACACGUUUUCCGGGCAGGAGGCGAAGGCCCAAGACCUAGAGAGGUGGGCUCGAGGGAAAGAUCUGGGUCCCACCACUACUUCCUGGAGACGCCGGGGAAAGCAGGCCAUCCUUCGAGCCACCCAUCUCUUCUCCGAUUGGUUAACUGCCCUCUUAUUGCGCUCCUCUGGCUGGUGAUUGGUUGGGAUGCACCGUCUAUCACCUGCUUCCUUAUGGGCAGCUCUCAAAAGAGGCACAAACAAUUGAAGGAUGGAUACCAUGACAUAUGUUAAAAGCGUGUUGAAAGGAAA